ACGCCCAUGGCGCCGACGUUUUGCGACGACUUGGAAGAGGCGGUGCGUCGACAAGUGAGCGAGGAGAAAGAGAAGUGGACUCGCACGGCCGAAGAUGAGGAUCGAGUGCGCUCGCAAGUGAUUUCCGCGGACGAGAAGAGGCGGCGAAGACGCGAUCGAGGCAGUAGAAGCGGCGGCGAUUCGUCGACGCGAUGAUCGAGUUGUAACAAAUGAACAGUAAAUGAAUUCACAGCUGCGUUCGCGCACGCCAAUCGGACCGACUAAAGAAUGUGUGUUAAUCGAACGGGUCGAUGCGAGGAUCGUGCUCGGUCGCGAGCGCCAUCCCGGUGCACAAGCACGACGUGCACAUAACCUUCGCCGUGCCGCUGCACGUCGGACAAAUACAUCUCGUGUUCGACGUCGGAUCGAUCAAUCGCCCCGGGCGGUUGCUCGUCGAGCACUCCGCGCACUGUAAGUACCCACUCCCCUUGCAAUACAUGCAAAUCUUCUUGCGCUGCUCUUUGACGUUUUGAAUUUCGAUGACGAAGAAGGCGGAAAUCGCCCCCACGGCGCCGCCCGUGAACGAAGCCACGAUCGGAUCAACCUGCGCGAGCUGCGCGGGCAAGUGCACGCUAUCUAUGAACUCCGCGUACGACGUCCCGCCGAGCCCGAGUUUCACUUCCGCCAUGGGUGCGAUCAACCCUCCGAAGAGGAGCAAAAAUCCCACCGCCGCGCCCCAAUAAAUCCGAUAAUCCUUCACGCUAUCCUCCGUCAACACCGGGAAUCCCGGGAUCACGGACUCGAACUCCCGCGUCUCCUUCACCUCAUCGUCGUCCAACCCGAUCGUCUUCACGCGCUGCUGCACCCGCAACCGUCGCAACUCCUCCAUCAACAAAAACAAUCGCUGUCGGCGACUCUCGAUGUUCUGCGCGAUCUCCCCCGCCUGCAUGUCCGCGAAAUCCACCACACUGUUCCGCCCCUCGAUGAUGCAAUAAUUCUCCGGCAACGCUUGCGAAUCAAAAUCUCGCGCCUCGCCCUCCGCGUCGUCCUCCUCCGCGUCGUCGUUCGCCGCCGUCGUCGCCGCGCCCUCGCCUUCGCCCUCGCCGAUCGCUCUGCGCGUCCCUCCCGCGCGCGUUCGCGCCCAUUCCGCGCGCGCCGUCCGCGACGCUUUCGCGCGCAUCCGCACUCGCGCGUUCACCGCCCCCGUUCGCGCGCGCAUCGCGCAUCGCGUCGUCGGCGUCGUCGCGCGCAUGGCGCGACGCUUUUCGCCCUUUCGCGUCUUCUCGACGCCGUCGACGCGUCGUCGGGCCGCCGUUCGGCGUCGCGAGGCGGUCGGUCGGCGCGCGCGCUCGCGCGCUCGCGCUCGCGCGUCGCCGCGCGCGUCGGCGUCGGCUCGAGGCGCGCUGUGCGGCGUCGACGCGCGCGCGGGUUAUCCGGAGCGGCCGUCGCCGCUGAACCCUAGCUAGGGUUUAGACGUAUCCAUCGCCGACGCCGUCGCCGCGACACGGCGACGCGCGCCGACCGCCCGACGCGCGCGCGCGACGCCGACGCGCGCGCGACGCUCGCGCCGACCGCCCGCGCGCGCCGACGCGCGCCGACGCGCCGACGCGCCGACGCGACGACGCGAAACGUCGCGAUGACGGCGGCUCGGACGUCGUCGACGUCGGCGCGCGCGACGACGCGCGGGACGGCGACGGCGAGGCGCGGAAGAGCGCGACGCGGCGCGGAAGAGCGACGCGCGAUCGCGCGGCGCGCGAUGACGCGCGAGACGACGACGGGCGGGAGCGUGCGGGAGCGCGCGUCGGCGGCGAGCGCGAGGGUUCGGGACGCGGGCGCGAGCGUCGCGGACCGCGUGAAAUGGUUGAUCGCGCUCGCGCGAACGCGGGGCGGCGACGACGCGUGGCUGGACGAGGAUGGGAGAAAUGCGACGACGCGCGUGAUGGGGUGCGCGUCGGCGAGCUGGAUCGAGGCGGUGGUGGAUGAGGCGAGCGGACGGGUGCGAGCGCGAUGCGCGAGCGAGAGCGACGCGACUCGAGGAUACGGAACGUUGUUGUGCGAGGCGUUGAGCGGUGGGACGGUGGAUGAGUGCUUGGAGCUGGGAGAUGAUUUCGUGGACGCGAUGGAGAUCGGGAUCGGGUCCAAGGUGGAGAAGUCGCGAACGAAUGGGUUUAAGAAUAUGUUAGAGACGGCGAAGAAGCAGUUGCGAACGCUUCGAGCCGACGCCGGAGGGGAUCCGUUUCCGAGCUUGAUCGUCACCGCGGACGAAGUGCGAUCGCGUGGAUCGUUUGCGGCGUCGCAGGCGUCGUAUUUGGAGCCCGAUGCGGGCAAAGUGAAGGCUUUGGUCGAGGCGUUGUCGACGAAGAAGAUCGGCAUCGUGGCGCACUUUUACAUGGAUCCCGAGGUGCAAGGCAUUUUGAUGGCCGCAAAGGCGUCGUAUCCGCACAUCGCCAUCAGCGAUUCGCUCGUCAUGGCGGAUUUAGCGGUGAAGAUGGUCGAGGACGGGUGCGAGACGAUCGGGGUGUUGGGGGUGGAUUUCAUGUCUGAGAACGUUCGCGCCAUCAUCGACGAAGCCGGGCACGCGGACGCCAAGGUGUAUCGCAUGGCGGCGGAAGACAUCGGAUGCUCGCUCGCGGAAGCCGCACAGAGCGAAAGUUACGAUAGCUAUCUCGAAGAUGCGAGUAAGACGAAGAACUCGGUGCACGUGAUUUACAUCAACACUGGUUUGGACACCAAGGCGGCGGCGAAUGCGAAAAUUCCCACCAUCACGUGCACGUCUUCCAACGUCGUGGCGACGGUUUUGCAAGCCGCGGCGCAGAUUCCCGACGUGCACGUAUUUUACGGCCCCGAUACGUACAUGGGCGGGAACUUGGCCGAGCUCUUGCGUCGGAUGACGACGUGGGACGACGAGGACAUCAAGGCGAUGCAUCCGGCGCACGACAGAGAAACCGUCAAGGCGCUCUUGCCUCGUUUGAAGUACUUCAACGACGGCACGUGCAUGGUGCACGACAUGUUCGGCGAAGACGUUUGCAACACCGUGCGCGCGUUUUACGGCGAUGCGUACCAAACCGCGCACUUUGAAGUUCCCGGAGAAAUGUUCAAGCUCGCCAUGGAGGCGAAGGAUCGCGGGUUGGGCGUCGUCGGCUCGACGCAAAACAUCUUGGAUUACACGUGCGCGCGCGUGGACGAAGCCAUCGAGCGCGCGCUUCCCGAAGGCGAACGUUUGCGAUUCGUGCUCGGCACCGAGACUGGGAUGGUGACGUCCAUCGUGCGCGCGGUGCAGGCGCGUCUUCGCGCGGCGCGCGACGCGGGCGUUCGCGGCGUCGAAGCCGAAAUCGUCUUCCCAGUUUCCGCCGACGCCAUCACCGCCACGGGCGACGCGGAGAUCCCUGUCGUGCCCGGCGUCGUCGCGGGCGAAGGGUGCUCGCUCGACGGCGGGUGCGCGUCUUGUCCGUACAUGAAGAUGAACUCGUACGACGCGUUGAUGAAGAUGUGCGACAAAAUCGGCUCCGCCGCCGGCGAAGCCGUGCUCGCCGCGCAGGAGCCGCGCAAAUACGAAAGCGCGGACGGCGCGGGUCCAUCCAUCGCAUCGCAAGGAUGCGUUCCGAUCUUACACAUGCGGCAUUUCCAAAAGAACAAGACGUUUAGCGACGCGUUGGUCGAGGACAUCACCACUCGUUAAUCCUUCGUCUCCGCGCGCGCGGCGAAUGGAAUCAAACGGAAUCAAAACAGUUGUCGAGAGUUGCAAUACUACAAUAAAGUGAUAGCACCACCCAUCGCCGUCGCGCACUUCCUACUCCUGCGCCCCCUUGACGCCGCGCGUGAUGGGAUCCUUCGCCACGCUCAAAAGCUCCAAGUCGAGCGUCACCGUCCCGUUCGCCGGGAUCUCCAUGACCUCGUUCGGCCCGUACGCGUACUCCGGCGGCACGAUCAUCCGUCGCACCGUCCCGACGCCCAUGCCCUUGAUCCCCUCGUUAAACGCCUGUAUGAACGGUCCUCCCGGCUCUCCCGCGGGUUGCCCGACGGUGAAUCCGAUCGGCGUCCCUCCCGUGACGCCCGCGCCCUGCCUCGACGUCCCCACCGUCACCGACCGAAACUUCAAGUCGUAGUGCACCGCCACGCGCGCCCCCUUCGGCACGCCCCCCGUCGCGCCGCUCGCGCCCUGUAAAUCGUAGUACAGUAUCGGCGGGUUCGUUCCCGGGAUCUGCGUCGCGUCGCGCGUCGUCAGUCUCGCCGUCGUCGUCGCGUUCGUUCGCGGCGUUCGUCGUCGUCGUCGUCUCGCGCACCGGCUGAAAGUUCUCGAUCGGCACCCCUCCCGUGACGCCUCCCGAGAGUUUCGCGCGCGCCGCGCCCGGCGUCGCGACGAGCGCCAGCGCGGCGCCGACGAGCGCGUCGCGGCGUCGCGCGACGUCGCUCGAUGCCGACGCGGACGCGCGCGGCCGCGUCUUCAUCGCGCGUUCGCGUCGUCCUCGCGUCGCGCCGACGCGCGCGGGCGCGACGGCGCGUCGACAGCGCAUGGCGUUCGCGCGCGCGCGCGCGCGGGGUCGCGGAUCGGCGCGGUGGGACGCCCUCGCGUCGAGGAAUGGCGACGAUCGACGCGUCGAGCGCGGCGUCGAGCGCGCGCGAGCGGAAGAAACGCGCGCGACGCGUCGAAGGCGCGGCGAUGGACGCGAUGCGCGCGCGUGACAUCGCUAAGAGGUGGCUAAUUCGGGCGCGUCGCGGUCGUCGCGGUCGUCGUCGUCGCCGGGGCGAACGCGCUUGUUGGACGCGGGCUCGACGGCGAGAUUUUCGGCGGAGGAAGAGCGGCGCGCGCUGUUGAUCGUCCCGCGCUCGCGACGGAGCUUUCGACGCAAUUCAUCGUAACGCGCGUGAUCCGACUUGCUCACCGAGGGUUGCACCUUCGUGAACGCCUCUUCGAAGUGCUUCGUCGUCACCGUCGGCGUCGAUUCGAGCGUCAUCGAUUUCAACGCCGCCACGCACGCUUCGCGCACGAGCGCCGCCAAGUCGGCGCCGCUGAAGCCUUCGCACGAUCGACCGAGCGCGAUUUGAUCCACGCGUACGUCUGGUGCGAUGGGCGUUCGGCGCGUGAGCGUCUUCAAGAUGGCGACUCGGCCGUCCGGCGGCGGCAACGGAACGUACAAGAGCUUGUCCAAGCGCCCGGGACGCAGCAUCGCUGGAUCGAUCAUGUCGGGUCGGUUCGUCGCCGCGAUCAAGAACGUCGCGUUUCGCGCUUCGAGACCGUCCAUCUCGGUGAGAAGUUGGUUCACGACGCGCUCGGCUGAGGUGUUGUCGCCGCCGCUUCCGCGACGCGGCGCCAGAGAAUCCAUCUCGUCAAAGAAUAACACGCACGGGCUCGCACUUCGUGCGCGCUGGAACAGCGUCCGCACCGCGCGCUCGCUCUCACCGACGUACUUAUUUAAUAACUCUGGACCUUUGAUGGAUAUGAAAUUCGCCAUCGCCUCGUUCGCCGUCGCCUUGGCGACGAGCGUUUUGCCGCACCCCGGUGGGCCGUAGAGCAAGACGCCCGUAGAGAUGUUCAAACCCAUCGCUUGGAAUCGCUCGGGAUGAGCGAUGGGCUCAGCAAUGGAGAACUUCAACUCUUCGCGAAUUUCUGUGAGCGAGCCAACGUCGUCCCAAGUCACGUUCGGCGUCGUGGUGAAACCUUCGCGUUGCGCCGACGGUUGCACGCGCGUGAGCGCGAGGGAGAAAUCUUCCAUGGUGAUUGCUAGAUCCUCGAGUUCGUCCUCGGUGAGCGGACGCGGAUCCGCUAAGCGACCAGUCGCGAGACGAGUGUCCCCCCCCAGUGCGGGCGCGACACCCUCGUCCAUCGUCACAUCCGCGCUCGCCCUUUCCUCGUCCUCGAGCUUUUUAAAGAUGCGCGUGACCGCCGACGCGGCGGCUUCCUUGGCCAACGCCGAUAAAUCCGCGCCGACAUAGCCGGGCGUUUUCUUUGCGAUUUCGCGCAAGUCUAAAUCUCCAUUCAAGCGAAGCUUGGUCGCCUGCACUCGCAAAAUGCGCUCUCGCGCGGCUUCGUCUGGAAUGCCGAGCAUGAUUUCGCGAUCAAAGCGUCCGGCGCGACGAAGCGCGGCGUCCAUACCGUCCGGUCUAUUCGUGGCGCCGAUGACGGUGACGUGGCGACGACACCGCGCUAGUCGAUCCACCUCGUCCGUGCCAUCGAUUGUUGAUUGAAGAUCGUCCAUGGACGCUAACAGCUGGGCGACAAUUCGACGUUCCAUCUCUCGCUGCGCGCUCUCGCGCUUCGGGACGAUUGCGUCGAUCUCGUCGAUGAAAAUCAGCGACGGCGCGUGCGCGGCGGCGGACUGGAACAACUCACGUAUCUUCGCUUCAGACUCGCCACUCAUUCCACUCACAAUCUCCGUGGCCGCUAUGGAGAAGAAGGGCACUUUCGCCUCUUGCGCGAUGGCGUGCGCCAACGUCGUCUUGCCGCAACCCGGCGGGCCGUGAAGCAACACCCCGCGCGGCGGAUCGACCCCGAGCCAUGCGUACAACUCGGGAUGCAUCAAAGGGCACAGUAUGAGCUCCUUGAUGUCCUUCAGCGAGUCCUCGAUCCCGCCUAAAUCCGACAACUUCACCGAGCGAGGCGACGUCAUUUGCGCAAACGCCUUCGCGCUCGUCGUUCGUCCAAACUCAUCCUCAUCCAAACUCUCACUGUCGCUGUCUCGGUCACCCUUCCGCUUGCGACGAUGCCCCUUACCUUUUUUCCCUCGCUUCUUAUCCUUGCUUUUCUCCAGGCGUUCGAUUUUCAUUCCGCGCUCGUUCAGCUUCACCUCGUGACCGCGCGACUUCGCCUCCGCCACCGCCCGCACCGCGCGUUCGUGCGCUGACUCUUCCUCCUUCACCGCCUUAGACCCGGACGCGCUCGCUUUCGCCUCCGCUUCCAACUUCAACGCCCGCUGCGCGGCCGCCGCGACGACCUCCGGCGCCGCGAACGCCGCCGUCGUCGCCGCCUCGUCGCCGCCGUCCAUCCCGUUCUCAUCCCUCUCGAUCGCCCCAUUCUCGUCGCUCGUCCCGUCCGAGCUCGUCGCUUCACUCGUGCUCGUCUCGGAAUCAUCGCUAUCUUCGUGAUCGCUCGAGCCUUCGCCGUCCAUUCGACUAAAUUUCUCGUCGUCGCCGUUCCCGUCGUCGCCGUUCCCGUCGUCGCACCGCCCGCGCGCGCGCGCCUCCGCCAUCGCGCGCUCCACCGCCUUACGAAACGGAUUGACGGGUUUGCGCGCGUACUGCCUGUACUGCGAGCGCAGGUACUGCGCGCACGCGUCGACGUCGCGCAAUGCGUUGAGGCCGCCGCCGGCGCUCGACCGCGCGAACGCCUCGACGCGCGGCAGCAACAGCGGGUCGCUCGUGACGUACGACGACGACACCCCACCGCGGAGCUUCGCGGGGCGCGCGUUGGGCAUGGCGCGCGCGGACGAGGCGGCGAGGCGGGCAAUGGGGCGCGAGGGUGAUGAUUCGGCAAAAAUCUCGAGGCGGCGACGCGAGGCGAGCUAGAAUGUGUCGAUGUCAGAAUUUCAAGAAAGAAUAUCACGCUUCGCUGACGUUGCCGAGCAAGCUCAUGCCGGACCUGUCUUCGAUUUCCUCGAACCCGAUUCCUCGCGGCGGGUUGGGGGGGAUCUCGCCGAGCAAGUCGCGGCGGUCGAGGAUGAUUUCCAAAUCUUUGUCGGAGAUGUUGGCGGACUGCGGUGAAUCCUCGUCGUUGGCGCCGGUUUCGCCCUUGAGGAGAGCCAUGAGUUCGUCAGCGCCGAAAGCGCGACCGUCGUCGUUUUUCUCUUGUUUGAACCCGCCGUUGGUGACGACGAGCUUCUCGAGAGCGAGCUUGGAGGCGGCUUUUUUGAGCAUUUUUCCUUCGACGGAUUUCGCCGUGGCCAAGCGGUAGACGUGCACGGGCUUGGUUUGACCGAUUCUGUGCACGCGAUCCAUCGCUUGCAAAUCUUGAUGCGGGUUCCAAUCGCUGUCGUAAAUGAUAACGGUGUCACCGCCCGUGAGGUUGAUGCCUAAUCCUCCCGCGCGGGUCGAGAGCAAAAAGAUGCCGUACUUCGGGUCUUCGUUGAAUCGAGCGAUGAACUCGCGACGGUCGUCUUGUUUCACCGAGCCGUCGAUUCUGCACACCGGUUCGCCGCGCUGUUGGAAAAAUGAUUCGAGCAAGUCGAGCAUGCGCGUCAUCUGAGAAAAGAUCAACACCUUGUGUCCGCGCGCGCGCAGGCGCGUCAUCAACCUAUCGAGGAGCUGCAUCUUCCCGCACUGUUCCACGAGUUCGUCCGCGGAGGGGAACAUGAUGGAUCCGUCCAGACCGCCGGUGAUCAAAUCCGGGUGGUUGCAGUUUUUCCGCAGUUGCAUGAGCAUGUUGUUCACAGCGGUGUGACCGACGGGAAUGUGGCUGUUGCCCGCGAAUUUCGUCAGCAUCUCGGUGAUGGUUUUGUUCACCAACGCGUCGUUGAACUCUUUUUGCUUUGGAACCAUUUGCGCGUACAAAAGAAUCUCCUUCUUGCGCGGAAGCGAAAGCUCGACGUCGCCCUUUAAUCGGCGCAACAAAAAUGGUCGCAAAAUACCGUGCAACUUGCUCACGACGCGCGCGCGAUGCUCUUGUUCAUUCUUAUCGACCACCUCCUGCUCUUGCGAUUCGUCGUUCCCGAUGUUGUCGGCAAAGUCAAACCAAGAUUGGAACUGCGACAGCGAACUGAAGACGUCUGGGAGCAAAAAGUGCAAAAGCGACCAAAGCUCGGGCAAGUUGUUCUGGAGCGGCGUGCCGGUGAGCAACAACUUGUUCGCGGUGGGAAUGUACUUGAGCUCGCGAAUGAGCUUGCAGUCAAAGUUUUUCAAUCUGUGACCUUCGUCCACGACCAAGUACUUGAAGUUGUACUUGGCCAAAAACUUGCGAUCGGCCAUGACGACUUCGUACGAGGUGACGAUGACGGGGAAAUCGGGUUUGAUCGGCGUCGACGUCGGCAAGAAUUCGAUUCGCUUCUCCGCGCGUUCUUGCCUCGUGCCGUGGUACAAAAGCACGGGAAUCGACGGCGUCCAACGUUGAAACUCGCUCACCCAAUUGCUCAGCGUCGAUAACGGACCGAUGACGAGAUACGGUCCCAACACGCCCUUCGAUCGCAAGUGCGAUAAAAAACCAAUCGUCUGCACCGUCUUCCCGAGACCCAUCUGGUCCGCCAAGAUUCCGUUCAAGCCGUUUUGAUAUAAAGAAAUCAUCCAAUUCACCCCCUUGAGCUGAUAAUCCCGCAUCGAACCGCCCUCCAUGAGCGGCAGCAUCUUUCUCGUCGCCUCCAACUCCUCGCUCUCGCUCAUCUUUUUCCGCUUCUUCGUCGCCUUCGCCUUGUCCCCAUCCUUCCCGUGCUCGUCCUCCAGCGUGUCCAUCUGCUCGCUCAAAAACUGCGAAUAAAUCGUCGUCUGAUCCAGCAGCGCGUCCAACUGUUUAAACUUUUUAUCGUCCAACUUCGUCGUCCCGCUCGCCGCCGCGCUCGCGUCCUCGCUCGCGCCCUUCCCGCCGCCCUUCCCGCUCGGCGACGCCACGCGCGCCUUCUGCAGCUCCGCCUCCGCCUCGAUCGCGUGCGCCUCGAUCCCCGUCAGCGCCGACGCCGUCAGAUCAUCGUACGAUUCCUCCGCGUCCGCGUUCACUCGCACCAGCCCCCCCCCGGCGCCGUCGUCGUCGUCGCCGUCCCGUUCCGUCGUCGUCAUCAUCUUUUCCCGCGCAUCUCCCCCCGCGUCGUCGUCCUCGCGCGCGCUCUUCGCCGCGCCUUCGCCCGCGAUCGGCGACGACGCCUUGCGUCGCUUCGCCCCGUUCGGCGCCAUCGUCGCGCCGUCGCGUCGCGUCGCGUCGCGUCGCGGCGUCGCGCGCGCGUUUGACGUCGACAGCCGACGUCGAUCGUUCGAAACGCGCGCGCGCCCGUAAUGUUCGCGCCUUUGGAUCGUCGCGGCGGUCGCGGUCGCGGGCACGAAAACGCGUAUUGUAUGCGUUUUUCGUGCAUUGUUGUCGAUGUUUGUACUUUUUUUAUCCGACUGUCCGACUGUCCGAACGAUGAUUCAAAAUCCACCGGCCCCGCGCGUCAGAGGUCGUCGGAUCGAUCGAACGCGCGCGCGCGCGCGUCGAGCGAACGAGCGCGCGCGUCGCGGACGCGGACGAUGUCGACGAUGUCGAUGAUGCCGAUCGCGUCGACGUCGGCGCGAACGACGCGAACGCGCGCGCGCGCGCCGAGAACGACGCAGACGCGGGCGCCGCGGAUGAAGAUGGGGCGGGCGACGCGAGCGACGACGCGGACGCGGGCGAUCGCGAACGAGGCGCAGACGAGCGAGGAGUUGAACUUUUGGGGGAAGAUGCGACAGGCGUAUCGAAUCUUUUUCCCGCCGAGCGCGGAGGAGAACGCGCGGAACGAGGCGAAGAAGCGCCUGCGAAUGAUUCUCGUCGCCGAUCGGUGCACGAUGAGCGAGAGCUCGAUGGACGAGAUGAAGGCGAAGAUAAUGACCGUGGUCGGGGAAUUCGUGGACGUGGACGAUUCGCAGGAGGUGGACGUGAGCAUGAACACGGAUGAGGAGUUGGGGACGAUGUACGCGGUGUCGAUUCCGGUGAAGCGCGUCAAGGCGGAGUACGACGCGGAGAACGACGCGUACAUGUUGGGGGCGCAGUUCGUGUACGACGACGAGAACGUGUGGGACGACGAAUGAUUAAUUUUACUCGCGCAUCGAGCGACGGGCGACGGACGGCGCGCGCGCGACGCGCGUCGAUCGAGGCGACCGCGACCAUUGUAAGCAAAUCAAACGACAGACGGACCGCGUCACUUCGCCUCGCGAUGUCCGACGCGCGCGCGGCGUCGGGGCUCGACCCCAAAACGUGGGCCGGCGCCUUCGACUGCGCGCGGUGCGCGCGCAAGCGCCUGCCCGCGAUCGAAUUCAGCAAAAAGGCGCUGCUCAGGAUGCGCGAGCGCGGCGACGAUGCCGGGACGUGCAAGGCGUGCGUCGACGCCGAGGCCGCGAUCGAGCGCGCGCGCGCGAGGGAGAGCGCGAGCGCCGUCGACGACGACGCGGACGCGACGUGCGCGGCGUGCGGGGCGACGAAACCGGCGAGCGCGUUCUCGAAGACGCAGCGGCGCGGCGCGGCGCCGCGGUGCGGCGAGUGCGUCGACGCCGCGGCGAGGGACGACGCGGCGCGCGGCGCCGCGGCGCUGGCGAAAUCGUUGGAAUCGGCGAGGGUCGACGCCGCGAGGGUCGGGGCGACGCUGGGGGAUCACGUGCGAGAGACGAAUCUGGACGCGGAGGCGGUGACGGGGUUGCGGGCGAAGUUCGUCGGCGCGCGGGGACGCGGACGCGGGCGAGGACGGUCGGCGAAUCCGAACUCCAUGCUCGGCCGAGGGGGGCGGAAGUGAGCGCGACGCGAUGAUAGUGACUAGCUAGCUCUAUUCUAGAAGAUUGCAACGUUGUUCGUUUUGCUAAUGAUUGCGCGCGGGCUAUUCGUCUCGCGCCCAGACGUCGCUGUAGACUCCGGGACGCGAGCUCUUCGGCGGAUUGGCGCGACGACGAAUGUACGGCCCGCUCGAUCUGAACCGACCGGUGCCGUCGUCGGGGAGCGCUAAAGCGACGUCACCGAUGAGCGGGGUCGCAGCCUCGGUCCUGUCGGUGCGACGUCGAUUGAAUGAAAUGGUUGAAUCGUCGUCGUCGUUGACGCUGUACGAAAACGCCUUGACGGGCUUGUGCGUCGCCGUGCCGAAUUCGUCGGCAUGUGUGAUGUACAAGUCUUCAUCGAACGCCAAAAGAUCGACGUCUUCGUCUUCGUCGUCGCCGUCUAUGAUGCCGUAAUCAUCGACGUCCCGGUUGAACGCGCGACGAAGCGUGCACACGCUCGCCGCGACGAACGUGAUCAACACGACGACGGAAAAAGACAGGAAACGCCAGACAUCCGCGUUGACCUGCGCCGAGGCGCGCUUGUACACUCGAACGUAGUCGACGUAAUGAAACAUGUCAUCGUCGCACUGAUUGAGCGCCGCAGGCAUGCCGAACGGCGACACCGCGGUGUUCAGGAUGAGAUAAAACGGCCAUCGCGGAAUGAUGGGCACAUUAAAGCGCGUCAAGUGAUGCACGGGAUGACCGUCGACGGUGAACGUCAAGCUAUCCUUCGACCACUCCACCGCAUACGUGUGGAAAUCCGCGCUGAAAUCGAUCGCGGGGUCCAUCAUGGGCGGGUACGCGCUUCGCGAGAAGCCUUCGGCGCCGCACUCCGCCUUUGGGGCGAAAUGAUAUCCCGAUUCCACCGUUCCCGCACGCGUCCCGGGCCCGCCCAAACCUCUGCCGUACGACUGCAUGAUGUCAAUUUGCCCGCCAAGCGGCCAGCACGCGCGCUUCGGCACGCUCUUCUCGGGGUCAGGUAACAUCCAGUGCUGCGGCCAAACGCCCGGACACUUGGACUCGGGAAUCUUCGCGCGAAUCUCAACUCGCCCGUACGUUUGCGUGAACGCCUCUUUCGUGUCCACCCAGCACGACAGGAACGGAUACUGAUCACCGCGACCACGAUGACCCACGGCACCUCCGUGUGGCGUCGCGGCAGUGCGCACGCCUCGCUGACGCCGCGUCCCGAUGACGAGCGCGCCGUCGACGACUUUACACAUCUCGGGAACGUAAAACUGUUGCUGUCCGCCGUGUCGCUCUAAACCUGGCGCGCUCUCGUUCACCUUCGGUCGCCAUUUCGAUAAAUCUAACGCAUCACCGUCGAACUCGUCGCUGAACGUCAACUCCCAUCCCGGCUGUCUCGCGUCCUUCGACGAGGCGCCCUUCGUCGACCCCGGCACGCUUUGCGGAAACCCACGUCGAGGGGUCGCGCCCGCGCGCCGCCGCGCCGCCGCGCGCUCUUUUAUCGCCGCCGCGUUCGCUGGCGGUCGAGUCGGCAUCGUUCUCGCCGCCGACGGCGCGUCUUCUUCCCCUCCCGUCGCGCCGUCGCCCGCGCCGGCGAGCGCGUCUCUCGCGCGACGCAGCGCCUCGUCUGGAUCCUCCAACGCCCCCAGCGCCGCCUCAUCGCGUUCUCUGCGCAUUCGCGCCCGUCUAAUUUUCAUCAUCUGUCGCUUCGUCGGCGCCCUCGCGCCCAACCGCGCCGUCGAACCGCCCGCGUCGUCUUCGUCCUCCUCCUCGUCCUCGUACGCCUCCUCGUCCUCGUCCUCGUCCGCCCCGUACAUCUCGUCCGGAUCGUCCGGCGCCUCGUCCUCGACGAUCCUGCGCAUCAACGCGUCGUCCAUCGUCCCGAACCGCGUCCCCGCGCUCGCGUCGACGUACCCCGGCGCGUCGCCCGCGUCGUCCCGCGCGUUGGGUGUUGCGUCUCGCGUCGUCCCGUCCCCGCCCGCGCCUUCGCCCGUCGCGCGUCCCGAUCGCGCCCUCGCGAGCGUCGCGAGCGUCACCGCGCACAUCGCCGCCCGCGCGCGACGCGACGUCGCGCCGCGCGUCGCGCGCCGCGAUCGGCGCCGCGUCGAAUGCGCGGCGUCCAUCGCCUCGCGCGCGUCGUCCCGCGUCGACGUCGUCGCCGUCGGUCGCCGCGCGCCGCCGCGCGCGUCGCCGCCGUCGCGCGUCACGCGCGCGACGUCGCCGUGUGUCGCGCGCCGCGCCGCGCGACCGACGACCGACGCCGCGCGCGGGAUGUUGGCGCCGCGCAUAAAACCAAUCGCGCGAUUCGUUCGCAUCGCGCGCGCGUUUUACCCCAUCAUCGCGCGUUCGCGUUCGCCGACCCCGCGACGCGCGUAAAUUCCGAGAUGGGCGUCGCGAGGCGCGGAAUGCGCGAUCACCGAUCGACGGCGUCGAUGACCGAUCGUGGGAAUCGCGGUUACGGGCGCGACGCGCGAUCGCGGAAUUCACGCGCGCGCCGGCGCGAACCCCGCGGGGCGACCGGCGGCACAUCGUCGCGCGUCGCGGAGCACUCAGGACGCUCUUAAGAAGGCAACGCGCGAGGAUAAAAUCAUGGCUCCGAAGCAAGGAUCGAAGAAGGCGGCCGAGGGCAUCAACGCGCGACUGCAGAUCGUCAUGCGAUCGGGGCGGUACACGCUCGGGUACAAGCAGUGCCUGAAGACGCUGCGCAAGGGACAGUCGAAGCUCGUGCUGAUCUCGAACAACUGCCCGGCGCUGCGCAAGAGCGAGAUCGAGUACUACGCGAUGUUGGCGAAGACCGGGGUGCAUCACUACGCCGGAAGUGCGUGCGCGAGGCGACGCGAUUCGACGCGAUGCGACGCGCGAGGACGGGGGGGUGGAAAACCCUAAAGACGGCGACGACGCGCGAGAGACUGACGAAGACGACGAACGCGUCGCGUGAACAGAUAACGUCGAUCUCGGCACGGCGUGCGGUCGAUACUACCGCGUGUCUUGCAUGUCGAUCACCGAUCCGGGCGACUCCGACAUCGUCAAGGCGGUGCCGGAGGAGUAAACGCGCGAAGCCGUUCGGCGACGCGCGGGCGAUUCUUCGGACGAUGAUUGGUUCGGGCGAUCGCGACGCGAUCGACGUCGCGAGUUUGCUUGUAAUAGAUCAUCGACUCGCUUCGAGAGUUAUUUUAAAUCGGUCAAACGUCGCGGGUGGUGAUGAAACUCUGUAUCUGGUCUUCUUUCCACUGAGGAGACGUCGUCUCGGCGACGUCAUGAAGAGAAUGUCCGCAUACCUUCUGAACCCAACUCUCUUUUGCGUCGCUCGUUCCUCGUUCGCUCGUUCGCUCGUUCGCUCGUUCGCUCGCGAUAGAAAUCUAGAUUACAAAAUGAUGAUCAACGUUCGACUACGCGGCGGCGGCGGCGGCGGCGCGCGCUGCCUCCCACUCGUCCACGCACUCGACGAGCAAACGAUUGACGAGCUCGGGGGCCUCGUCUUGCGGGCAGUGUCCGACGCCCGGGAGCGGGAUGAACUUAUCGGCGUACGACGCGUAUAGUUUCCGCCCUUGGUCGAUGUUCUCCCACGGAUCUUUAUCGCCCCAGAACAUGCGCACCGGGACGUCGCAUCGAGGCAACAACUCCUCGGGCAGCGGACCGCCGCUGUACGAGAUGAAAUCCAAAAACACCUCCGCCGCGCCUUCGCGCAAUCCCGGACUGAGAAUCGCCUCCACGAGCUCAUCCGUGACUUGCGCGGAGUCUCCGUACGCUUCGCACAAGAUAUUCUUCACCGUCCGCGCCUUGGCCACCGAACCGAAGAAGGACUUUCCCACGCUCGUCUCUCGAAGCGUUCGCUGCAGCGCCUUCACGAACGGUCGAAUGAUCGCCGGCUGCUUGCUCACGUGCAAUCCACGCAGGCUGAUAUUCAUCAGCACCACCCCGCGCACCUUCGUCGGCGCGUCCACGGCGGCUUGCAACCCCGCGACGCCGCCCACCGAGUUGCACGCCACGUACGCCGGCGUCCCCACCACCUCGUCCAAAAAAUCCUCAAUCUGCUUUCCCCACGUCUCGAAGCAGUAUAUCUCGUUCUGUUCUCGCAGCAUCGGAUUCGGUUUAUCGCUGUACCCGUACCCGAGCAGAUCGAUCGCGUACACGCGCUUGCCAGUCGCCGCCAGCGCGUUUACGUUUCUUCUCCAGUGGUCCGCGUUCCCGCCGAAUCCGUGCACCAGCACCACCGCCGGUCCGUCGCCGUCGCCGACCGCCUCCGUGUACCGUAUCGCGUGCGUCUCGUUCGUGCGCGGCGCGCGCCAGCGCCAGUAGCGCUCGUCCACGCCGUAGCGCUGCGCGCGCGUCGCCGGCGUCGUCGUCCCGGUCGACGUCAUCGCGACGCGCGCGCGCCGUCUCGCGUCGCCGCGCGCGCGCCGCGGCGCGCGACGCGCCGGCGAGCGACGCGCGACGUCGCGGAGCGUCGACGGCGGCGCGCGCGGCGCGGCGCCGAGCGUCAUCGCGCGCGCGGCCGGCCGAGACGCGUCAGAGUGACGCGCGAUGGGACGCGAGCGCGUCGCCGCGUCGAGCGCGUCCGCGGCGCCCGCGAGCGCGGAGCGCGCGCGACGCGCGCUCGCGGACGCGCCCGCGGCGUCCGCGCUCUCGGGGUGCGUCGACCGCGCGAGCGACGCGAGGGCGACGCGCGCGAACGAAGGCGCGCGCGAACGACGACUGACGACGCGACGACGCGCGACGACGACGCGACGCAGGUUCGGGUUCGGUGGAUACGCCGGACAGGUGUCCCUGACGGCGCGCGCGGCGAGCGACGCGAGCGCGGACGCGGGAGAGGUGGACGAGGACGCGGCGCGCGCGCUGCGGCGAUGCGCGCAAAAGUCGUCGACGGCGACGAAGGCGAAGGCGCUGCGAGAACUCCGCGACGCGCUGUUCGUCGACGCCGCGGACGAAGAUUCGAUGGAGGAAGUGGCGAAAAAGGUGAAAACGGUCGCGGGCGUGCUCGGGGUGUCGCGGGCGUGGGCGAGGGCGUACGAUAAAUUGGCGGGCGACGGCGACGCGGGAUGUCGACGCGAGGCGGCGGCGUUGAACGGAGCGAUCGCGGUGGCGGCGGGGAAGGGACUGGGGAAGAUUUUGAAGAGCACGCCGAUCAUGUGCGCGUGGGUGCGGGGGAUGUGCGAUCCAAGCGCGGAGGUGCGAGAGAUGGCGAUGGUGGCGUUUGAGAAGACGUUUUCGACCGAUGCGCGACGCGCGGGGGCGUUGGCGCUCGCGCACGAAGUGAUUUUAGACGAUUUGAUCGAGGCUUUGAAACGGCGCGGGCCGCAGGAUAUGAUCUUUAAGGAAGGCUCAGAGGCUGAGCAGUACGCGCGUUUCGAGUUGAGCGCGCGCGCGGCUCUCAGGGCGGUGACGUUUACGUGUGAGCGAUUGAGCGCGUUUGAGGGAGACGAGAGCGACGCCGCGGCGAGCAAGUUUAGUUAUUUGCUCGAUGAGUUGGCGACGUUAAAGACGCAAAUUCGAGGUGAAUACAUGGUCAUACGCCGAGAUGCGUACGCGACGUUGGCGGCGAUUUGUAAGCGCGCGGUCGAUGACGAAAUCACCCCGGCGUGGCGAGACGCGCUUCGAGGCCAAGUGCCUAAAAUUGCCUCGACGAGCUUCGCUCUGAUUUCGUCCGAGACCGAGCCAGGAGCGAUGCGUGAUAUGUGGGAGCUCAUACUCGGUAUCGCCACUUCGCACCCCGACGCUUGGGGCGCUAUAGAUGUCGAAAAAACCUUCAUGUCUGGCUUGCGCAAGCACUUCAAACGCGGGAGCUACGGCGCCGCGAGUGUUUCGUCGCCGUCGCUCCUUCCGCUUCUCGCGCACUUGCCCCCGAAAGCGCUUAUCGAGCGCGACGCCGAUGGUCGCGCCAUGUCGGGAUUAGUGCGCGUCAUGGACGCCGUUUUUGCGGGGUGGUGUUUCUUGAGUUCGAGCGCCGUUCGCUCAAACGAGGCGCGCGAUACGCUGCCGGCGAUGCGCGAAGGCGUUUUAUACGGCGUUCUGAAGCUCGCCCCGCUCACCGAUCACGCGGAAGAGUGCGCCACGCACGUCUUGGUCGAUCACGUGGUCGAUGUGUGGAUGCGAGAGUUUUUAGCGCGCGGUAACGGCGCCGCGCUCGAUUUGAUGUGCGACGUGCUCAACGUGCUGAGCACAAAGCCGCACGCGAAGACCGCCGUCGUGGAGGCGUGGGCGAAAUUAGGAGACAUCACAGAAGCGGCGUUGGACGACCCCGAAAAAGGCGAACACGCAAAUGCGAUGUACGCUCGACUGUUUGCAUCGGGGAAAUUCGCGUCGUCGUCGCAGGCUACGGCGCCAUUCGCGAAGGCUGUUUUCGCGCAAGCAGUGGAUGCGCCGUCGAAGCAAACCUUCGAGCGAUUGGCGACCUUGGUCGAGAGUCUAGGCGUUGAGCCAUUCGACGGUGCGCAACGUUUGAUGGACUUCGCACUCGCGGACAACGCGCCACAAGGUUCGGGCGCGGUCGUCGCUGCGGUGUUGAAGCACGACGCGAGCUGGUGGAGCGCGGUGCUGGAUGACGCGAACGCGGCGGAUGAAUUGGAGUCGUCUUCGCGCGUGCGAGUCGUAACGGAAGCAAUCGCCGCCACGAAAUCGUUCGGUGAACUCAAAUGCCCGGCGCUCGAUGAUCUCGUUCGUCGAUGCGCGAAGCGAUCGAGUGAUGCUUCGUGCUCGCAACUGUUAAUCGCCAUCUCGCAGUUUUUUGAACCGGUUUCCGCCGACGUCGCAUCCGACGUCUUUGAAAGUCUCGCUUCGAGCGACCUCGGCGACGGCGCGUCGAACGCGCGUAAAGCGCUGCGCGAGUGGAUACUGAUACCGCCUAAAGAAGCACUGAGUAUUCCGUGGUCAAAUGCCGUCGGUGCACUCUUCGCACACGUGCUCUUGGAAAGUCAGCACACCGUGAAGUGCGUGAUUCACGAAGCCGAGAGCGAGGGUGAAAGCGAGGACGAGGUGGAAUACGACGAGACGAAAGUCGGAGAAGUGCAACGCGAUUGGAAAGCUUUCGAGUGCGACGCAGAGAGUAAUCCAGUACUGUCACCCGCGCUUCAGGCCGCGUUCACAACCGCCAUCGCACGCACCGCCGCGGCGACGGCGGCGACGCAACACCCAGGUGAAUCCGAUUUGGUUUUGAGAUUGUGGGCGCAGAUGACCGCGCGAGCGCUUCGAGCGUUCCACGUCGACGAUGAGACGUUUGCAAAAUGCAUCGUCGACGAAAUGGAAAAUAACGUGGACGACGAUGUGACUUUUCACUGGCUGAACGCCGUCGCGCGCGUUCUCGAUUGGAGCUCGUUGUUGCGCGCGAUGGAUGCAGACAGGCGAAAAGAAUUCACGGUCGACGCGUUAGCGCUGGCGCCGAGUGUCAAUAAAGCGUUCGCGAUUGCGCUGUGCGGUGAUGCUGCGAUGCAAACGCAAAUAUUCGUCUCGCUCGUCAACGCGGUGUUGGAGGCGUCGCCAGAUGAUGAAUCUGCCGAAGACGCGUUGCUCAAUUUUUCGCGUCGCGCUCGCGCGCUCGACGAGGCUUGGAUCGACAAUCACGCCGAUGUCGUGCGCGAGUUCCUCGACGCGUCAAGCGCGAAGCGCGAUACGUGUUCAAAUCGUUUGACGCGAGUCAUACCGUGGAUAUUACCCUCUGACAUGUCUGGGGGCGCGCACGCCGAGCGUUUCAUCGCUGAGCUCACGCGCGAGGUGAUUGCGGAUAUCGAAAACCGUCGCCGACGAUUGGAUGGCGCUAAGAUUCGACUCGUCGCCGCAUGUUUUAGCCGCGCGGACGACUUGGGUGAAACGAUUGUCGUGCAUUCGAUUCAAGACCCCGCGUGCGCGCCUCUCGUGGAGGUGUUUCGCGCGAUUGCCAAACGAGAAGCGGCAGAGGCCGCCGCGAGCGCCGCCGCGGCGCGCUUCGGCGACGCUGGCGAUAGCGAGUCGCGCGAUGGUUCGAGUGCAUCUGAUGUAGGCAUCGCCGCGCUCACCGCGGCAAUCAUUCGUCGCACCGCCGCGGAUUUCGAUUCUCGAGAUUGGGGCUCUAUAAUCGGGCGAUUGCACGCGUGGACGGCGUUGCGGGCGAAGAUGGCGGAGACGUACGCAGAGAACGAAGCCGUCGACGGGGACGACGGUUCACAGUCGGCGCACGCUGCGGCGACGAUCGUGUGUCUCAUCGAUGCGUUACCGAUGGAACUUCUUGAAGCCACGGAUUCGUCUUCGGGUGAUCUCGUUCCUUACGCGGCGCAUGGGUCGUCGAUGAUGACCAUCGCCAAGGCGCUCGCGAAUGCGUCGUGGCCGCGCGAGCGCGCCGAAAUCGUCGAACGUUUAUAUCGUUGCGUCAUCAUCACCGGUACCGAGCUGCGCGACGUCGAAGAGGAGGACGACGACGAGCGUCGACAUCGCUUCUGGGCCCGAUGCCGGGACGAGACGCGCAUGUGGAUACGCAUCGCUGACAUUGCGUGCGGCGGCACGCCGACAAAGACGAGCGCGUGGCGAGCCGGCGUUUACGUAGACGCGUGGGACGAUGCCCCGUGUGAAUCCAUAGGCGCGCUUUACCAGUUGCUCGCCAUGUUGCCGACGUUGUGGUUCGACGUUUCGGCCGCCGACGACGACGAAGUAUUGGAAGCGCUCAGGCGCGCGGCUUAUGGUUUGCUUUCCAACGAAGCGCUCAUCCAAGCCGCCGUCGUCGGCUUGGACGCGGGAAUCGCAGACGUCGCCAAGGUGGAGCAAGCCCUCGACGCCGCGCUCGCGGCCGCGGACGAGAACGACGAAGCAGACGUCGGUAACUUUGGGACACCCGCCGAAAGCGCCGGAUUGCGCGAAGAUUUGGCGACACUCCUAUCGAGCGCCGGGUACGAGCCACGCGUCGCGUGGUUAGGCUGGGCCUUGCUCUUCCGCUACGUCCUCGCCUUGCCCAUCGAGUCUUCGUGCAGGGAGCGUUUGGUGAAUUAUACGCGCGAAACAAAGGCGAUUCCAUCGCUUAUGCGCGACAUCAUGCGCUCGAUGCCCCUUCCCGAGAGUGCGGACGUAGAAAGCGAAGACGAUUUGCCGUCGUCGUGGCGAGGCGUCGAUUGGGACAAUCCCGCGUCGGCGACGCAAAUUUAUGAUCCGAGAUUCUCGUUCGAAGUCUUAAUGUACGCCGCCGCGCUCCGCGCGCUUCCAGCGAGCGUUCGAGCGUUCGUAAGCGACAUGAAACCUCAACGCGACGCCAAGCGUCUCGAAGGUGCCACCUCGGCGACGGUUUCGCCGACGCUCAUCGCCGCCGAAUUCAAAGCCGUCUCCGCCAUGACGUUCGCCGGCGACGGCACGGGAUCACUCACCGUCAAGCCCUCCAUCGCCACGCGCGAAUUUCUCACGACGUACGAAAUCGACGAAUCCUCCCUCGAGCUCACCGUGCGUCUCCCCAACGCCUACCCCCUCGCCCCGGCGGAGCUCGUCUGCGCCAAGCGCGUCGGCAUCUCCGAGGCUCGCCUUCGCAAAUGGAUGCUCGGCAUCUCCGCCAUCCUCAAGCAUCAAAACGGUGCCGUCGCCCAGGCUUUACUCCAAUGGCAGCGCAACAUCGACGCCGAGUUCGCCGGCGUGGAGCCGUGUCCGAUUUGCUACGCCGUCAUCCACCCCGUGGAUCAUCAAAAGCCUCGCCUGCGCUGUCGCCAGUGCUCGAACACCUUUCACGCCACCUGUCUCUACACCUGGUUCCGCACGUCGAGCAAGAGUUCGUGUCCACUGUGCGUCACGCCGUGGGGGAGUUCGUACCGUUAGUCUCGAUCGAGUAGCUAGUUUAGACGAUACGAGUCGAGUUAGAAUCCGUCGGCGUCGGCGUCGACGCCUCACACGUCGAGGCGUCGCGAUGAGCGCGCCGUCCAUUUUCCUCGUCCUCGCCGUCGGCGCCCUCGAGCACGUCUACAGCGCGAGCGCGAACACGACGCACGUCAAGCGCACCGUGUUGAUCGUCGACGGCGACCGCGCGCGUCGUCCGUCGCCGUUGAUUCUUUGGAACGCCACGGCGAGAUGCGAAUUAAAAAUCGGCGACGUCGCGUACGCGAGCGCGCUGCGGCGCGCGCACGCGUCGCCUCGAUGGCGAACGCAUCGCGACGCCCUCGUCGCGGCGCGCGGGUGCGAGAUUCGCGCGGUGGCGAGCGCGGAGGCGGUGGCGGGACGGCGCGAGCGACGCGCGCCGGGUGCCGAGUUUUCAACGAAAAAUGGAUUCGACGGUCGCGCCGCGAUGCGACGGACGAUCGAGCGCGCGCGCAAGGAACACGCGGACGUGUUGCGACGCGCGGUGGACGCGGCGGAGGCGAGACGGCGGGAGAGCUUCGGAAGGGAGGCGGGGUACGUCGAGGUCGAGGCGCUCGACGGGACGAGCGCGGCGUUGGUGCACGUGCUGGGACGCGUCGUGCGAGAGACGAUCGCGCCGAGCAGCUGGCGUCCGCGCGCGGGGGGACGCGACGGCGCGCGGUACGUGCGAAGGAUCGUUUGGGUGGUGCAAACGCACGGGGGACGGUGCGUGGCGAUUUGUUUACCGCCGACGACGGAGGCGGCGGCGGCGGAGCGAUCUUUAUUGAAAGACGGUGCGGUGAUCGACGUGCGCAACGCGUUGGUUCGACGAAACGCGCAGACGGGCGUGUGUGACUUAGUGUGCGACGUUCGAUCGCACUGGCGCGCGCUCGAUGGGAAGGACCCGAGGUACGCCGACGUGUGCGCUCGCGCGCCGAAAUCGGCGUUUGAGCAAACGCUGACGUUCGAAGCGCUCGCGCUCGCGAUGCACUCGAACGGAUUCGCGCGCGCGUCGUCCAUGAUUCGAUUCAAAGCGUGCGUGCGAUGGGUGAAGGUGGCCACAGAGCGUAGACGCGUGCCACCGAUGCUUCGCGAGACGGACUCAUCCGUGACGGCGGCGAUGACGUACUUGGCGUGCCUCGCGUGCUCGCGAGAGCUCGAAACCGAUCACAACAACGUGUACAAGAUGUGUCACUGCACGUCAAACGACGCGAGGUGUGGGUUCGUGUGGCGGGACAUCGUGCUCGGAAUGCAAAGCGACCACGGAGAUUCCAAGACGGUGAUUCCGGUGCGGGCGCGCGGCGACAUCGCGCGACGACUUUUAUUCAACGUCGACGCGUCGAGCGUGUUGGACGAACACGCCAGCGACGACGAGUUUGACGACUUCGACGACGACGACGCAGCUCCGCGUUCAGAUCACAAGAAGGUCGUGGUUGCCGCCAUCAACGCGCUCGCCGCCGGCCGUCGAAACGCCGCCAUGGAUUGGCGAGUGAAAUUCCCCGCGCUCGACGAGAACGGACUGCCGAGACGAGACGAGCUCGAGCUCGUGGAUUUUAACGCAGACUAAGCCACAUCACUCGUCGCCGCGUGGGCGAUCUCUCGGAGCACGCGCGCGCGCUCUUCGACGAAGUCUAACUCGCGCGAGAGGCUCGCGUCGCCGCCGUAGGCGCGAUUAUCGCGUGAGCACCGACACGCCAGGUUUCGCACCGCCAUCUUCGCCUCGGCGAGACCGCGCACUUUUUCCACCAUCGCCCGCGCCCUGUACGCCGCCUCCUGUUGCAAUCGCCCGUUUUCGCGCUUCAAGUCUUCAUCCUGUUGUCGCAGCCGAGCGACGGACGCCGUCGCCGCCAACCGUUCCUCCUCCAUGUGUUUCACCGCGCGCUCGUGCGCCGCGCGCGUCGCCUCCACGCGCUCGUUCGACUCCACCACGCUCGCGCGCAAGCUUUCGUACGUCCGCUGCAGCGUAUCGUGCCGUCCGAGCACAUCGGCGAUGUCCUCGAACGCGUUUCCCCGCGCCGCUUCCUCGGCGACGCGCGCCAGAAACCAUUCAAACACCCGCACCCGACCCAACUCCUCCUCCACGCUCGCCCCCGCGCUCGCGCGCUCGCGCAGGCUCCAUCGCAUCUCCGUCAAUCGCGCGUCCCGCGCCUCGUUCGCCUCCCGCUCCUCUUUCGCCCGUCGCAGCGCCGACUGUCGCUUCACCUCGUUCUCCCGCACGAACGCCUCGAACCGCCCGACGUCCGCGCGCGCGCGCCGCUGCGCCUCGUUCGUCGCGCGCUCGCGCCUCGCGCACGCCUCCGCGCGCGCGUCGCGCUCGCGCUUCUUCGCCUCGAGCGCGAGCGACACGCGCGCGAGCGCCAGCGCCUCGAGCGCGCGCGACGACCGCGCGGCGGUUCGCGCGAACGCCGCCACCGCGCGCGCCUCGCUCGCAUCGCUCGUCGCCGCCGCGUCCGACGCGAGCGCGGUGAGGAAACCCUCGCGCGCGGUCGCGCGCGCGUCGUCGUCCAUCGCGUCGCCCGCGUCGCCGUCGUCGUCGUCGUCGUCGCCGUCGUCGUCGUCGCGGUUCGACGUGCGCGCGAACGUCGCUUUGUAUCGCCAAAAAUAACCGUCGACGCCUCGACGCGCGCGACGCGCGCCGCCUCGACGCGCGCGCGAACGCGCGACGGUUCCCUCGACCGCGCCGAAAACAGGCGCGCGCGCGACGCGCGCGCGACGGGCCGCGUCCGCGCGCGCGCCGACGCCCGGCGCGUCGUCCGUCUCGACGUCGAAAACGCGCGCGCCGCGCACCGUCGCGGACCGUCGCGCGUUAAAACGCGCGCGCUCGAAACGCGCGCCGCGCGCGCGCGAUGAACGAUGGAAAGUUUCGAGUCGUCGUCGCGGCGCGUCGUCCGUCUCGACGUCGCGCCCGCGCGACGCCGCUCGAGCGUCACGUCGCGACGCGCGAUGUCGCGAAUCGCCGCGCUUCGCGCGCUCGCGCUCGUCGCGUGCGUCGCGACGCUCGUCGAUCGUCGAUGCGGCGUCCCGUCGUCGUCGUCGGCGUCCGACGCGACGGCGUUCGACGAGUCGCGCGCGCGCGCGACGGCGCGCGCGCUCGAGGCGCUCGGCGCGCGACCGUGCGGGACGCCCGCCGAGGCGCGCGGAUUCGCGACGCUCGAGCGCGCGACGACGACGAUGGCCGAGGCGCUCGCGCGGGACGCGGGCGCACACGGCGUCGCGUCCUGGACGACCGCGGAGACGCGCGCGACGUCGACGUGGACGAGCGAGGCGUACGAGACGACGUACGCGAACGCGACGGCGACGACGACGAAGGCGAUGAAUCGGGACGCGAUCGAGCGGUUAGGGUACGACGAGCGCGUGGUCGUCGUGAGCGCGCACGUGGACACGGCGCACGCGAGCGCGGGCGGGAGCGACGCGGGAGCGUGCGCGGCGAUCGCGCUGGAGACGAUGCGGGCGCUGUCGGCGCGAAUCGCGGCGGCGGCGAACGAAAAGGCGAAGAGCGGAGGGACGGCGUCGCCGGUGAUGUGCGACGCGAAAGCGCGGCGGUGCGCGUCGGUGGUUUUGACGUUUAGCACGGCGGAGGAGGACGGAUUGGCGGGCGCGCGAGGGUUGACGGCGUCGCGGGAGUGGGCGCGGCGAGCGCCGCAGGCGAUUUUAAACCUCGAGUCGAUGGGCGCGGGCGGGCCGCAUCGAAUGUUUCAGGCGCGCGCGGACACGGCGGUCGGAAGGCAGGCGCUGCGCGCGUGGGCGCGCGUCGCGCCGCUCGCGAGCGGCGGCGUCUUCGGAGACGAUGUGUUCAAGUCGGGGUUGAUCAACAGCGGCACCGAUUACUCGGUGUUUCGGAAAUUUAGCGACGCCGAGGCGCUGUUCGAUUUCGCGUUCGUCGAGCGCACGAUGGUGUAUCACACGCCGCGAGAUCGGGUGAAAUAUAUCCGGCCGGGGUCGUUUAAGCAUUCGGGGGAGAAUUUGCUCGAGUUUUUAUCGGACUACGUCACGCGCGGCGGAUUCGAGAGCGAAGGCGACGACGCGCGCGCGACGAAAUCAUCGCCGCCGGUGUCGUGGUACACGAUCCCUGGAUACGGCAUGGUGGUGCACGACGCGCCUCGGCGCGAGACGCACGCGGUCUUCUUCGCCGCGCCGCUCGUCCUCUUCGCCGCGUUUUUGCACAAGGCGUACGUCGGCGAAAUAUUCGCCUCGUCGUCGGCUUGCUCCGAAGCCGCGCGCGUUCGCAUGGAAAACACGUUUCGACUCAUGGUGAGCGUCCCGUUCGUCAUCGCGGGGUGCGCCGCGAGCUGGAUGGGUGCCAUCGCAUCAGCCGCGCUCGCGCCCGCGACGGUGGCGUUCGCGUUCGGCGAGCCGAGUUUGUACGUCGCUCGUCCGCUCGCGCUCGGCGCGCUCGCGGGCUCAGCCGCGUGUCUCGCCUUCAUCUGCGUUCAAAGGUUCACGCGCAUGCUCGCGUUCGCGAUGAUGCCCUUACCGGUGAAGAUGAAAUCGAACGCCGACGACGAGCGCGUCGUCGAGUGGUCGCUGCUUCUGGGAAACGUCGCGAUUUGGGGCGCGGCGGCGUCUCGCGCGACGCGCGCCGAGAUCGGCUCGUCCUACAUCCCGCUGCUUUGGCUGAUAUUGCCGUCGUCCAUAAUCAUCGCGCCGGUUCUCGUGCCGUGGAUUCUCGCGCAUGGUCGAUCGAGCGAAACGGAAGCCGCGCCGCCGCCGCCGACGCCGAUGAACGUCGCGUUCGCCAUCGCCGCGCCGGUGUGGAUUACGUUUCCGAACGCCGCCCUCGUGCUUCGCGUCUUGCAAGGCAUCGGCGCGCGUUCGCCUCUGAGUGAUGAUAUCGUGUAUCUCUACGACGCCAUCGGCGGCGCCGUGGUCGGGAUCUUCGUCGCCAUGACGUGUAGCUUUUUGGUUCCGGGCGCGGUGGCGAAGGAGGACUCGGCGUCGUGGCGGCGCGGCGCCAGGAUCUCAAUCAUCACGCUCGCUUCGGCGUGCGCGUAUACCGUGGUUUUCAUGCGCGCGAACGCGGGCGUGCACUGGACGGCGUUGUCGCCGCAGCCACUGGUCUUGACGCACAUCUCCGACGCGUCGUUUUCUCGCUCGCGCGUCGUGUUGGCGCGCGCUGGAGCGUCUCGCACGCGACGCGUCGUCGAGCACCUCGAAUCCAACCCCGCCAUCGCUCGCGCGUUCACGUUCGAUUGCACCGCCAACGCGACGUAUGAUUUUGUGAACACCGUCGUCAGGGGCGCGUGCGUGAUCGAUGCGAAACAGAAGACACCCGGCGUCGACGCGCUCGCGAUGGAGGCGAGAGCCACUGGAGCGUCGCCGCCGAAAUUUACGACGCCGCGCCAAAGACACGCACCGAACGUGCGUUCGGUGACGAUGGACGUGGGCGAAAGCACGCGAUGGGUGCUCGCGGUGGACACGCGGUGCGUCGCUCGCGUCGCCAUCAAGGCGCUUUACGAUGAAAACGACGACGAAUCGCCCGAGCAAUGGGUGCGCGUCGAGCCGUACGCGCCCGGCGGCAAGAAACGACACGUGCUCAACGGCGUCGGCGGCCUCUCGGCGCCGUCGACGUACGCGAUUUGGUAUGAAACGCGCGACGCGGAGACGCGCGCUCGUUACUUUUCGAGCGACGACGAAGCGCAAGCGCGCGCGUGCGCCAAAGGCUUGCGCGCGCGAACGGAUUACGUCGCGCGAACGCCGAGCGUCGUCGCCGUCGACGCGGCUUUGCCCACAUGGGCGGUGCCGUUCGGUAAACAUCGAAGCCCGCAAUGGCUAGGUUUCGUAGAAACGCACGAUGUGUUGAAUUGAAUUAAAUUGAAUCGGCUCGUUCACGCCGCCGCCGCGCUUCUCGAAGAGCGAGUCUCCACGAAGAGCAAGUCUUCAUCCGUCCCGAACGCCGUCCGCGCCUCGUCGAACCGCGCGCGAGAGACCAUCACGUCGCCCCCAUCCGGCGCCGGGUCGAAUAUUCUAAAUCGAAUCACCCUCCCGCCGUCGACGUCCGCGCCUCGCACGACGACGAAGUGCCCGACGAAAUCGCGCUCGCGUUCGCGUUCGCCCUCCCGCGCCGUCAACAACCGCGCGUCCACCAGAGCCACGCACCGCACCGCCCGCGUCGAGAGCGCUCGCGCGAUGUCCUCCGCGCGCAUCCUCGCGCGCACCACCGUCGAGGCGUCCGCGCGCGCGAAGAGCCUCGCCACGCGCUCGCAGUCCUUUAUCAACUCGUUCUCGUAAAAGCCGUCGUUCGCGUACCGCGGAUCGACGCCCGCGCGCGUCGUCACCAGCGUCGCCCUCGCGCCCGUCGCUCGCACCGCGCGCAGCAAAUCGAUCGUCCAGCACGACCUCGCGCGCAGCGCCCGUCGCAGGGCGUCGCGCGGCGUCCCGCUCGCGCUCGCCGCCGCGCUCAGCCCGCAGUCCCACGCCGAGCGCUGUUCGCGCGGCGUCCAAUCCGCCGCCUCGUCGCGCGCGCGCGCGGGAAACCGUCCAAACGUUCGGUCGAACGCGCGCGCCGUCAUGGCGCGCGCGCGCGCGGUCCGGUCGUCGUCGUCGCGCCGUCGCGUUCGCAUCGUUCGAACACCGUUACUCGAAAUGUUUGAUUGAUGAAGGCGCGAUUCGUCGCGCGAGGACGCGAAAUGCGGCGCCGAGGCGCGCGCGCGACGCGCGCGACGGCGUCGUUCGCGCGCGUCGUCGCGCGCGGCGCGCGGCGCGCGGCGCGCGGCGGUGUGAGGAAAUGGAGCGUCGACUCGCGCUCACGCGAGGCACGGGACGGCGGCGGCGGCGGCGAAGAGGAGCGACGCGCGCUCGCUCGCGGCGAUGGCGGCGCACGCGCUCGAGCCCGACGCCGACGUGGUGCCGACGGCGCACGCGGCGCACGCGCUCGAGCCCGCGUUCGCGGCGAACGUGCCCGACGGACAGAAAUCACACGCGCCGGCGACGCGUCCGCGCGCGCGCGCCCGGGAUCGAUCGCUCACUGUUACUCAUACCCGAAUGUCCGAAAUCGUCGUCGUAUUUAUGCGCGACGCGCACCGUACUCGAGCGCUCUGAAAGGCCAUCAGUAAAGCGUCGCGAGACGUCGCGUCCGACCGCCUCCCGCGCGCGCGUCGCACACCGCGACGCGCGCGCGCGACGCGACGGACGACGCGGAAGACGACACGGAAGACGGACGACGGACGCUCGAACCGCGAGCGAUGCCGACCGCCGCGAUGACGGCGCGAACGAAGGACGAACGACGACGAUUCGUCGUUCGAGGCGCGAUCACGCGCGCGCCCUGCCUCCCGGAAUUGAGCGCGAAGGCGACGCCGGAAGCGCGUAAGAAGGUCGAUUUCAACGAGGUGAUGAAGAAGGCGUCCGCGCGGGCGUUUCGCGGCGGCGUCGCGGGAUUCGCGGCGGGCGUGAUUCAGGUCGGGACGUUCAUGUGGAUGCGAACGGCGAUGAAUUAUCAGUACGCGAACGGCGGGACGAUGCUGUCGAGCAUUAAGGCGCUGUAUAAGGAGGGCGGAGUGCCGAGAUUGUAUAAGGGGAUGUCGUUUGCGAUCGUGCAAGCGCCGUUGAGCCGAUUCGGGGACACGGCGGCGAACACUGGGGUGAUCGCGGCGUUGGAGGCGUACUAUCCGCAAAUGCCGGUGAGCGUGAUGACGGGAUUCGCGAGCGUCGGAGGCGCGACGUGGCGGAUCUUUUUAACGCCCGUGGACACGUUCAAGACGACGCUGCAAGUGCAAGGGAACGCGGCCUUCGCGUUGUUGAAGGAUAAGGUGCGAACUGGUGGCGUCGGAGUGUUGUACAACGGCGCGGCGGCGAACUUCGCGGCGAACUGGGUCGGCAACUAUCCGUGGUUCGCGACGUUCAACUACUUGCAAAAGGCGAUCCCGAAGCAAGACACGAAGUUGAAGAACAACGCGCGCAACGCUUUGAUCGGUAUGGCGGCGUCGAUCGUGUCCGAUUGCAUCUCCAACUCUUUGCGCGUCGUGAAGACGGUCAAGCAAACCUCUGGCGACGCCAAGUUGAGUUACACGGGCGCCAUCAAGGGUGUGCUCGAAAAGGACGGCAUGAAGGGCUUGUUCGGCCGUGGAUUGUCCACGCGCAUCGCCACGAAUGUGUUGCAAGCCAUGGUGUUCUCUGUGGCGUGGAAGGCUAUCGAGGAAGAGCUCAACAAGAAGGCUGAAGCCAAGAACGCCGCGCCGGCGAAGAAGGGCAAAAAGGCGUCCCUCACCGCCGCGCAAGUCGCCGGCGUCGGGUUACCCCCGCUCAGCAUCGCGUAAACAAACGCGAUUAAUAUCUGUAGAUCAUUCGAUCUCUGUGCCGCUCGAAAACCGAGCAGCGCACAUUUUUCUCGCGUCGACACGAAGCAGAGCGCUCGCGGGGCGAGCGGUGAUACAAUACGCCGUUUCGCUCUUCGGCGAAUUCCAGCAUGUGAAAUAAACACGCACGUAUAUAAUCAUAAUCACAAUGCUCGUCUCUCUAACUAAAACUUAAUAUCCUCGUCACACGCGCGCUCACGCCGCGACCGGGUCGAGCUGCUUGUCCGUGAACACCCACUCGUCGCCCUUCUUGACGACGGCGAUGCACUUGCUGCCGACGCGCCAAGUCGCCGUGGCGAUGGGCGUCGGGUCAUACAGGUACAGAUCCGGGAACGCCUUUUGCAACGCCUCGGUGGCCUUCUUGGCGUGGUAGUGCGGGAUGGUGUGGUUGAUGUGAUGCGCGACGUGCGUGCUGCCGAUGCGGUGGUGCAAAAAGUCAAACACUGGCCCGUACGGGCGAUCAAUCGUCAUAAACGCGCCCUUGACCAAGUUCCAGUCGUCGCCCUCAAAGUGCGGCACGUCCACGUCAGUGUGCUGCAACCACGUGUACAGGACGAGCCAAAAGUUGGUCACCAUGUACGGUCCGACGUAGAGCGCCAUGACGGUGGCGACACCGCUGUGCGCCGCCCACGCCGCGAGCGCUCCCAAAACCGCCACGACGCCGACGUCGCUCUGCCAAACCUUCUUCGCCCACUUCCCCGGGAACAACGCGUGCUUACCCUUCUCGCCCAUGAACGGCAAGAAGUGGUUCGUGUUCCCGCGAACCGGCCCACCGCUGGCGCCGGUGAGCAAAUAAAUCGGCCACCCCAAGGCGAACACUCCGACGAGGUUCAAAAACGUAAACGGCCCUUCGCCGAGCAACCCGCGCAACUUGAACAUCACGUUCGCGUCCUCCGUCCCCAACCGCGCCGGCACGUGCGUCUCUCCCUCGAGCACGUGAUUAGUCCUCGAGUGAUGCACCGCGUGCGACCGCUGCCACGAAAAAUACGGCACCAACAACAACGAGUGCAGCGCGUAUCCCACCGCGUCUUGAAUCGUUUUAUCGUCGCUAAACGCGCCGUGUCCGCACUCGUGCGCCGCGACCCAGCACCCGGUCGCCGCCGUUCCCGUCACGAACGCGUACGCCACCCACACCGGCCAAUACGCCGCCGUCACCGGCACGCACGCCCACGCCAGCGCGCCGCACGCCAGCGUGAUCGCCGUCGAGCACGCCGCGUACGCGAGCGACUUUCCCGUGUCCCGCUCGAAGCACUCCCUCGGGAUCGCGCGCAGCACCUCUUGCAUCGUCGGGAACGUCUUCGCCUCGGCGUUCAGCGCCUUGGCGUUCAAGCCCGAGCGCAGUUGUUCGUGUCGCGACGUGUCGUAGGUCGUCGCGGCGUCGGCGCGCGCGGCGCGGGCGACGCGCGCGCGAUCGCGACGUGACGUCGUCGAGCGAGAGAACGCGGCGCGCGGGAGCGCGCGAGCGCGCGGGAGCGUCAGAGCGCGGAGCAUGACGCGCGACUGUCGUUCGUGGAUCGCGGUGCCGCGGGAAAGCGGUCGACGCGCGAGCGCCGGUGAGUGCGAACGCGACGACGCGACGGGAGAGCCUUAUCCCGCGAGGCGCGAAGGCGGACGCGAGGCGAGCGAAACGCGCGAACGAAUCGGGGCGUUACAAAGGCUAGACGACGCGCGAGAGACGCAUGGAACGUAAAAUCUUAUCCACGAGUUGUGCGAUCACGGUGUGGGAUUGACGCUCGUCGCCGUGGUCGGUGAAUAAAGACUUGAGCCUGGCGACGACGUCGUGGCGGAUGAUGAGCUCCUUGGGACGCUGGGCGUGCUCGUGGACGACGCCGAGGGUCUUGAGAAGGGUGAUGCGGAUCGUCGGUUUCGUGGUUGGGGAAGUGAUGGCGUCCAUGAGGGAUGGGAUGAAAUCCUCGUUGGCCAGGGCUUGGCACAAGCGGGGGGAUUUGGAGAUGAGAUCGAGCAAGGCUUCGAGGACGUUGGCUUGGGAGGUGGAUUCGUCGAGGACCUCGAGGAUGGAAUCGAUGGCGUCCGUCUCGAGCAAGCGAGCUUCGACUUUCCACGGUUCGAUAGCGAGCCAGGAACCGACGGCAUUGAGCGCGGAGAGUGUCCAUCCGGAGUUCACGGCUAUGAGCUGGACGUAGGUGUCCAACGCGCCGUGCUUCUCCAAAAUUUCGCGCGUUUUCCGACUCGUCGACGCCAUGUCGCACAAGAGCGGCACGGCGAGCGUCAUCGCGGAAGAGCGCGCGGUGGUCGCGACUGCGGCGGUGUUGACUUUAUCGCCAUUCGUGGCCGUCGACAUCGAGCCAUCUCCGUUCUUUUCGUCCCGAGCGCUGGCGAUGAUUUGAACGAGGAUUGGAAUCAAACCCGCCACGGCGGCUUGCUCCUGACGCUCCUUGUUCACCGCGCACAAGUUGUGCAACGCCUUCAGCGCCAUCUCCCACGAUUGCGCGUGACCACUUCGAAAGUUACCUUCGACGCAUUUCACCAAUUUGGGAAUCGCUCCGGCGUUUUGCAACACAUGAAAUGCAUUCGUUUGUUGAGACAGCAAGUGCACCAGACCGAGAAUCUUCGUCGCCGUCGAGCGAGGGACGACGCUCAAUUGCGCCAAACAUCCGUGAAUAAUUCUCACGUCCACGAGCGCCUUGGAGACUUCUGCGCAUCCUUCACCACGUUUGGCGACACGAUACAGCGUCUCGGCGACGAGUUCGCGGUAAUACUUGCCCCCACUGGAACCUCCGCUGCGCGAUCGACUGAUCGUACUCGCGCCGCCGAUUGAUCCUGUCAUCGACGAACCCCCCUCGCUGCGCGCGUCGUCGAUAUCGUCCGUGAUCAUCGCCGCAUCUUCUAAACUCGCUGUGUGCGUUGCACCGAGCAAGGUGACAAGUUUCGGGAACAGGCCUGCGCUAGCAAGGGCAAGCGAGACGGUUUGAGCGAGUUGUUUCGGCAGCUGGUCGCCGCGCUCGAUCUCCGCGGCAAUAUAAAUCGCCCCGAGUGCGUAUUUGGUGAGCUCGCGCCCGUUUCCGCUGUAUCCGUAAUCCAAUACGUCGACUAAUAUGGGAAGCGCCCCGCAUGCGACGAGACAUCGUGUGAACACCGGUCCAGCCUUGGCGGUGGCGCGACACAGCCGCAACGCCGCGAGCUUGAUCCUCAUGCUUGAAUCCUUCUUUUUCAGCACCUCUAAAGCCCUAGGUAGCACCGCAAGCGUGACGAACGAUGUGAGUAUAUCUCUGCUCAACAUACUCGCUGCCGUGACACACUCUAACGCCACCGUUCGCAUUCUUGCCGACGCCGAUUCAUUUUCUAAGACGUUGACGAAAACGCCGCACGCUCGCGUGGUAAAGAGCGUCUCGUUCGCCACCAAUACGCUCGUAGCGGUCUCCAUCGCGCGUACGAAUUCUGCACCAGCCUGUUCGGCGUCAUCUAUCGCCGCCACAUCACUCGUUGACGUGCCGAACGCAUCCUUCAAGCGAUCGACGAUUGAGAUGAGCGAUUUGUUGAAGUCGAUUUGCGCCUUUGUCACGCCCGAGUCGCUCUUCAUAAAGUUCCCCAAAUCGCUCUUCAUAAAGUUUUCUAAGUCCUUUUGCGAGCUUGAGCGCUCGCUCGCGGCUAUUAGGGGUGACGAAUUGGCGGCUGCGGCGUCGUCCGCCGCCGUGACGUCGCCGUUCACGCCAACUUUUGCCAUUUGAUCGAUGACUUUAACGAUGACGCCUUCCUCCGCGUCGUCAUUCUGCGUUCGCCCACCGCUCGCGUCUCGUUUGGUCCACGUCUCGGCGAGCACUUUGUGCUCGUCCAUCAACCACGUGUGGUUGAUCAACUCCUCCGCGCUCGGUCGAUCUUUCGGGUCCCUUUUGAAGCACAACAACAAGAAAUCCCGCAACGCCUCUGAAAUCCCCGUCGGCAGCGGCGGGUGCUCGUCGCGUACGAUCCUAAACAACGCCGGCAUGGGAUCGAGAUCAAAAUACGGCGGGUUGCUGGUCAAUAACUCUAUGAUAGUACAUCCCACGCUCCAUAUAUCCGCCGCCGCCGUGACGCUCCGCAUUUCGAUCACUUCCGGCGCCAUCCAAUACGGAGUCCCCAGCGCCUUGUCGCCCUCGCCCUCACCCUCGGCUCGCGUCCCAUCGCCAAUCCCGCGCCCAUCGCUCGCAUCACCAUCGCUUCCUUCCGACCUCCCCUCCGCCCCGAACACACCACUCAACCCAUCCCCCGACGCCCGUCCGCCCUUUGUCGCCACGCCGAAAUCCGCCAACUUCACCACUCCCUCCUUCGUCGUCAAUAUAUUCGCCCCCUUGAUGUCCCUGUGCACCACUCCUUGCGAGUGCAAGUACGCCAACCCUCUCAACACCUGCGCGACGUACACCGCGCACAGGCUCUCCGGGAACGCCCCGAAUCGACUCGGAUGUACCGUUCGCGCCAGCGACCCAUUCUCCGCGUACUCCAGCAUGAUGUACAAGCACUCCUCCACGCGCACCGCGCCCUCAUAUUUCACGAUAUUCGCGUGUUCGAGCCUCGACAGCAGCUCCACUUCGCUCGUGAUGCGCUCGAGCUGCUCGACCGGGACGCCGCGCAGCGGAAUCUCCUUCACCGCGCAAAUCGACCCCGUGCGCUGGUCGACGGCUUUGUGCACGCGCGACGUCGCGCCGGAGCCGAUGAGCUCGCCCAGGAUGUGGUUACCGACGCGUUUCACCGCGUGGUGCGGCGACGCCGGCGGCGACGCCGGCAUGGCGCGUCGGAGAGUGCGUUCGAUGCGAUUGAGAUUGGCGACGACGGUUGAAAAUUUGAGAUUUCGGCGGAGGCGCGGUCGGCGACGGAUGCACGCGCGAUGCGGGACGCGCGCGACGCGAACGCGCGUCACGAACGAAAUGAAAAGACUCGCAUGAGAUUACACGCGAGAUGGCGCGGUUAGAUCUCGGCCGAGGUGGAGACGUCGAGGAUUCGACGGCGAAUGACGCGGUCGGCGACGGCGAGUUGGGCGUCGGCGACGGAGGCUCGAACGGCGCGAAUCGCGGAUGCGGUCGUGGCGAUGAUGGCGAUCGCGCCGAGAGGCGAUUUGGGGGGUAACGUUCCCGCGCGAAUGUGCGCGGAGAGGGCGUAGAUGGCGUACACGGUGGGGAUGGCUUGGAAGACGUAAAAGGCGACGACGGCGAGGCGUUGCGACGCGGCGUACGCGACGGUUUCGUAGUGAGGAAAACCGCUCGCCGUUCGGGCGAAUGUGCGGAAGUGUACCGUGGCGUCGCGGAGUUCGGUGAUGAGCGAACACGCGAUUGCGACGACGAAAACGUCGUGGUGCAACGCGAGGAGCGUGACGGCCAAAGCGACGACGCGGCGAAACAUCUCGCCGCGCUCGCGGCGGGCGCCGUCGACGACGACACGACCGACCAUCACCAUGACGUACACCUUGAGUAACUCCACCGCAGCUAACUUUCCAGCCUGCUUUCUUUCGUUCGGAAGUAUCCACGAGAUGGCGGCGGCGCGCACGUUUUGCGUGUCGUCGAUGAAGCGAUACGCCGCCGUGCCGACGGCGGCGGCGACGACUGCCUUGGUCAACGGGACGCUGAGCGCCAAGGAACGUUCCAUGAGCGUGCCGUGUGCGCUCGAUGCUUCGGCGAGCUUGACUUUACUAACCUUUUUACCGAGCUGCGGCAACGCCACGCUCGAGACGACGGCGGCUAAGAAGGUCGCGCAGCUAAAGACUGCGACGACGCCGACGAGCAGAGGCACAGCCAUCGGGAGCAUUUCCGUCACUGUUGAAGGAUUGCGCUGCGCGAACAUCGCACAGAUGGCCACUACCACGGCUAAGUAUUGAAAUUCCGGCGCGAUGGACGAGGUAGAAACCUCGCUUCUAGAUGCAUCGUCGCUCUUCUUGACCCACGUCAUUUGCAAAUCGUAAAUCAACUUGUUCGCAAACGCAGCCUCGCAAUACGCAAAGUAAAACUCAAACAUGCGCAAAAACUUUCGUGAGUAGCCCAUAGAAAGGAUUCGUUGGGCGUGAUGCAUCAUACGCUCGCGCCACAAUCGCAAAGUGACGGCAUAAUGCAAGCCGAUAUCGUCGUAUCCCUCGAGCACGAGACCACGCGGCGAAGCGCUCUUCAUCGCCCCCACCGACGGCAAGUGGCCACCUGGGAAAAUGUACGCACGAAUGAAGUCGCUUUCACUGUUGCAGUAUGACUCGUAGCGGCCGUCCGGCAUAGUGAUGACUUGGAUCGCGGCUCGCCCGCCGGGUUUCAGCACUCUGUGCACGGUGCCAAAGAACGUCGGCAAGUGUUCGUGUCCGACCGCCUCAAGCAUUUCAAUCGACACCACCUUGUCGAACGUUCCUUGCACAUCGCGGUAGUCACAAAUGACGAUGUCGAUCAAGUGUGACAAACCGGCGGCUUUGACGCGCGCCGUUGCUUCGGCGUGCUGCUCGUGCGACAGUGUCAAACCAGUGACAUGGCAAUUCUUCUCGCUCGCCAUGCGAAUCGCGCACGUCCCCCAACCGCAGCCAAUCUCAAGCACGCGAUCGCCUGGCUUAAUACCCGCUCGAGCGAUCAUGGCGUCUAUCUUUAAAUACUGCGCCUCUUCCAAGUGCUUUUCUUGGGCCUCGAACGUCUUGAACUUCUUCAAAACGUCUACGGACAUCGCAGCGUCGUCGAUAGCGCCGUGAAUGGCGCUCGAGUACAACAUGGUGUCAUCCAAAAACAGCUUGUAGAACUCGUUUCCAGCGUCGUAGUGGUACUCUAUGUUUUUACGAGAUCCUUCUUUCGUGUUACUUAACGCCUUGUGUGCUGCCAUCUCCAUUUGCGCUCCUACCCAGUUAACCGCCUCCGUGAGGAGACCCACUGGGUCGAGACGCAUCUUCGGCUUACAGCUCUCCGUCUCUGCGCCAGAAGCCGCGGGAUGGCCUUUGCAAAUCAUGUCCAUGAACCCAAUUAAAUCCACGUCGAAAUCUCCGUUCAUAUAACACUCACCAAGACCGAUAUCUGCGCGCAAAAUCGUUUGCAUGAAGAGUCUUUGGUUGAAUACCGUCAUGGUAAUCGUCUCCGACGACGCGUUGGCCUCUUUACCCAUCAUAAGACGUUCGCUUCCAUCCGGUAAAAUCAUGCGGAGUCGUUUGUCGGCUGGUAACCACCCCACGCACGCGCGCUGGAAAAGCGGUAAGACCAUCUUCGUGCUCAUGGACAACUUUGGAUCGCACGACCGCGGCAUCCACGGCACGGAUGACUUGCCGAGCAUUUUGUCCACACAAUCAACCGCUGAUUUGAUACCAUCCUCGUGAAAUCCGUAGCCGCACCACGCGCCGCAAAACCAAACCCGGUCUUUACCUUGUAACGCCUUGAUCUCCUCCUGCGCCGCGAUCGCGGCUUUGUUAAAUAACGGAUGCGCGAGCGUGACUUUGUGUUCGACCGAGCCUGCCUUCGGCUCGCGCGGCGGGUUCAGCGUGACGAACAAAUCCUUCGUCCCAGGGGCGAGGUUUUGCAACAAGUUGACCCAGUAAGUCACACAAACGCUUCGAUUUGCGGCUUCUUCGGCGGGAAUGCCUAAGCGAUCGCCGCGAAGGCAGUUCCACGAUGCCCAGGCAUCUUUGUUCCGCGGCAUCAUUGUUUCGUCGGUGUGCAAAUACACGUCAUUCUCUUGAUACUUCACCGCCGACAGAGCCGAGACUUCUUCCUCGCUCGCAGCUUUGCCAAGUAUUUGUAACGCUUGAUCGCUAUGGCACGCGAAAACGACGUCGUCGAAAACCUCGGUGGACUCCUGAACUUUUCCCUUGGCGUCCUCUGUCUUAAAAGUCACGCUCACGCCCCCCGCCACGCGGUACACCUUGGUCACGUACGCGCCCUUACGCACGUCUUUGAGCUCGCGCUCAACGGCGUCGACGUAAGCGCUCGAUCGACCACUGACGACUCGCCAGAGAGGUCGCUCGAUGAUGUUUAAUAAGUGAUGGUUCACCCAAAAUCGUACGAGCGUGCGCACUGGGAACGCCAUCGCGUCGUCGUCGCUGCAGCUCCAAAUCGCCGCACACAUCGGCACCACGUACGACUCUUGAAAGAACGCCGAGUACUUGCGAGCUUUGAGGUACUCACCCAAAGAGACGUCCGCGAACUCGCUCGCGCGUUCCGGCGCCAAAACCUCUGGCGCCUCGCGACCAAAACGUAGAAUCUCCCGAAUCAUAUUCAAAAACCGUCCGCUCAUCGCGUUCGACUUUUGCGCGAACACGCCUUUCAGUCCUAUGCUCCCCCACUCGACGUCUCCCGUGGACAAUGAAAACGACAUGUCGCUCGGUUCGCUCUCGACGCCGAGCUCGCCGAACAGGCCCACCAGGUGCGGGUACGUCGUCAGGUUGAACACCUGGAAGCCCAAAUCCACGUCGCACUUCGCCGUGCUCGAGUAUUGCGUCAGUGCGUGUCCACCGAGCUUCGUCGACGCUUCGAACAGCGUCACCGCGCCGCACGAGGGCGUCGAGGGCGCGCUUUGCGCUUUUACACUUUUUGGUCCGCCGCCGGCGUCGUCGGCGUUCUUUUGGAGUAAAUACGCCGCCGACAGGCCGCUGACGCCGCCGCCGAUGACGGCGACGCGUUUACCGCGUGUGGUGGCUUCGUCCUUCAUCUCGGCGUCGCCCGCGCGCGCGAUGACGCGUCGAGCGCUGACGUCACUCUGAGGUGGUCACUUUAGGGGACGGCGGGACGAGGCGCGCGCGGACGCGAACGCGGCCACGUUUGGGCGCUACGAUGAUCUAAUUCUAGUUACACGUUGUUGUGCUAAUGUUUGAGCGCGCGCUACGUCCACACGAUGUGCCGGUCGGAGGUGACCUCGUAUCGGCGCUGGUCCACGAGGCGACGCUUUACGUGGUCGCAUCGAAGGUCGGGGUGCGGGAACCGCGCGAGGUCGGCCACGCCGUCGUGGUCGAAAUCGGUGGCGGAUCGUAAUGGAAUGGCGGUCGUGGCGUCGGGCCCGAUUCCGAGCGCGGCUUCGGCGUUGUGCUUGGUUUCGAGGACGUGCUGGAGGAAUUGUUCCUUGUCGCGCGCGUCUCCGCAAUACGACGCCGUGACGGUGUGCGCGCCUGGGAACGUACCAUCGUCUCCCGCGUUGGCGGUGAUGAAAUUUCCCGAUUCUGCGGUGCUCAUGGCGUGGAUGUGGAACUCUCCCGCCGUCGUCGGCACGAGAACGUAGUUGAAGUAACUCUGCUCCGGAAAUUCGCCGUAGUUCACCUUGGAUACUAAUCGACUCUCCCCCUCGAGCCAUCGCUCGCACAAACUCACGCUCCGCGUCGUGGCUGGGAAAAUGACGAGCUUCGUGUUCAUGUUUCCUUGCGCCUCGAACUCGUUACCGACGUCUGAGCUCACGACGACGUCGUACUUUUCGAGCGCGCUCGUCCACGCUUCGGUUGGAUCGGACAAAAACACCGUGUCCGAAUCGAGCAUCACCACUGGGAUGCGCGCUUUCAGUAAUUCUAAGGCCGCGUGUACCUUGCGCCACGACAUGGCGUCGCGCGCGACGCCAUCGUUCGGAUCUUGCCCGUACGCCCGCGCGAAGUCGGCGUCGUAAAAGCAAUCCACGCCGCGAUGCGCCUCGCACGAUCGCUGCGUCUCCGUGUCGUACGUCAGCACCGUGACGUGCGGCAACAACGCCGGUGCCCAUCGUUUAACGCUCUGAAUCUGCAAAUACGUCAUCCCCCACUCGAACGGCUUGGUGAGGAUUAAUAUCCGCGCGUCGUCGCUCGCCCGCUGCGUCUCUCGCACGUGCGUCCGCAGCCCCGGCACGCCGCGUCCCGGCGACCGCAGUCCCGGCACGCGCGUGCGCAGCGAUAUCCUAUUUAUCACAUCCGCCUUCGCCGGCGCCCGCAUCCGCGCUUCCGCGCUCAACGGCGCUCCGAAAAAGUUCCCUCGCUCGUUCGCCGUCCCGCCCAGCCUCGCCGUCGCCCUCGAUCGCCCCGCCGCGCCCUCUCGCACCGCCGCGACCGCGAGCGCGCACGCCAGCGCGACCGCCACCGCGACCGCGAUCCCCGAGCCGCGCGUUCGCGCGCCGAUUCGCCUCGCGCGGCGCACCUCGGCGACGCGUUCGUCCUCAACACCAUUCGCUUCCCGCGCGCGCGACUCCGUCCCGUACGCCGUCGACGCGCCGCGCGCCAUCAGCCCCGUCGCGGGGUCCUCGCUCGACAUCUCCGCGCGUCGACGCUCGCGCGCGCGCGCGUCGCGGUGUGCCGCGCGCGUCGCCCGCGCGCCGCGCGAAGAUGUCGUAACACCCAUCGACGGCGCGACACAAAUCGUCGCGCGAGCGCGCGCGAGCGUCGCGCUCGACGCCCGGCGCCGACUCGAGCGACGCGCGAACGCGAUCGACGCGCGAUCGACGACGCGCGAUGGCGCGAACGGAGCGCACGGCGCUGCUGCGCGGCGAUGAAGACGUGGAAAUCGCGUUGAAAACGCGUCGCGGCGACAAAGACGCGUCCGCGGACGACGCGCGCGAGGCUCUCGGGCGACGCGAGAGGCGCGCGCGCGAGUCGAACGGUGGCGCGGAGGCGUCGACGAGCGCGCGCGGGAUGAAGACGGCGCGCGCGGUGGUGGUGGGGACGUUGGCGGCGGGGGCGAUCGCGGCGGGCGUCGCGGCGUUCGCGGCGUCGCCGCGCGCGGCGUCGAUGACGGCCGAUCGCGCGUUCGCGUCGCUCGGUGAGCGAGGAAUGGCGAUGUUGGGCUCGAGCGAGGGCGCGGGUCGCGACGCGAGACCGGUGCCGGUGCUGUCGAAACGAUUUCCGGGAUACGCGGCGCCGUUUAGCGGACGUUUCGAACGCAUCGGCGAGUGGCCCGAGCACUGGUUGGUGAAGUGCUCGAAGCACGUGGUGUGCGAGCAAUCACACUUGGGAGCGUUUUUGGGGUCUCGUGACGCGCCCGCGCCGUAUGCUAACCCGCUCGGGCACGGGCUGCCGCGUGGAUACGUGCGGCCAGACCAGGCGCGCAUAAACGAGUUCAUCUCGACGUGGGACAGCAACGCUAGACAGGCGCACGGGGGGGUGUAUGAGCUGCCGCAAGCUGGCAAGGCUAAAAUGGUCGCGAUGGCGCAUAAUUCUGCGUACUUUUACAACUUUGUGCACGUGCCAAAGGCGGGCGGGUCGUAUUUUUCCAUCACCGUCUUGAUGGAAGCCCUGGAGCGCAGCGGUGAGCAUCACGGGUAUCCGUACAAACUCACGCACGAGCCCGUAUCGCACUGGAUCACGCUUCCACAGGUGGAUCUUACGCAGACAAACGUGAAGGAGACGUAUACACAUUUCCAGGAAGGGAAGCCGGAGGGCAUUUUUGGACCCGAAAAUACCAAACAAAUGUAUAAAGAAGGCAAGCGGAUGUUCGGAAAGGGCCAGUUCGGCAUGGGACUGUGCGGAGUUAUUCACGCACCGUGCGUGUACUUGACUGUGUUGCGCGAUCCGGUGGAACGUUACUUGAGUCAUUACAAGUACUCGUGCUUGGCCGGGUCUGAGGGCGCCGCGCAGUGGUUACCCGAGUGGAAAGAACUCGACCGUUGCCCGUUGGAUCCGAUCGAGUUCAUGGACUACCUCGGACCAAACCUGGACUGGACGAUCGAGCUCGCCCCUGGCGCGAAGAACGCGCAAGAGCGCAUGGAGACAGCCAAAAGAAAUCUCGACAGUAACUGCUUGCGAUACCUCAUACUCGAGAAGUACGAAGACGGGUUGGAUAAACUCGGCGCGACGUACGCCGAUUUCUUAUUUUUGAACAAAGAGCCCGCGAAAGAAAGGCACAAAAAAAAAAA
This 41138-nucleotide long non-coding RNA is filed under the name Ostreococcus sp. 'lucimarinus'. RNAcentral describes it as "long non-coding RNA (OLUC_LNC000048)". The record is from RNAcentral. Lineage: Eukaryota; Viridiplantae; Chlorophyta; Mamiellophyceae; Mamiellales; Bathycoccaceae.